Molecule: ribosomal RNA, 494 nt
Filed under: uncultured bacterium
Lineage: Bacteria
Description: partial 16S ribosomal RNA
Rfam family: Bacterial small subunit ribosomal RNA
Source: RNAcentral
GACGAACGCUGGCGGCGUGCUUAACACAUGCAAGUCGAACGGAAAGGCCUGCUUUCCCUCGUGGAUUGCGGGUACUCGAGUGGCGAACGGGUGAGUAACACGUGAGUGAUCUGCCCCCAACUUGGGUAUAAGCCUGGGAAACUGGGUCUAAUUCCCGAUAGGACUGCAGGGUGGUGCCUGUGGUGGAAAACGAUUUUCUAGUGGUUGGGGAUGAGCUCGCGGCCUAUCAGCUUGUUGGUGGGGUAAUGGCCUACCAAGGCGGCGACGGGUAGCCGGCCUGAGAGGGUGGACGGCCACAGUGGGACUGAGAUACGGCCCAGACUCCUACGGGAGGCAGCAGUGGGGAAUAUUACACAAUGGGCGGAAGCCUGAUGCAGCGACGCCGCGUGGGGGAUGACGGCCUUCGGGUUGUAAACUCCUUUCGACCGCGAGGAAGCCACCUGGUUGGAAGGGUGGUGACGGUAGUGGUAGAAGAAGCACCGGCUAACUACGUG